RNAcentral lists this ribosomal RNA (497 nucleotides) under uncultured bacterium. RNAcentral's name for it is "partial 16S ribosomal RNA". It matches the Rfam family "Bacterial small subunit ribosomal RNA", at positions 28 to 507 of the family's 1533-position model. The record is from RNAcentral.
GAUGAACGCUGGCGGUGUGCCUAAUACAUGCAGGUCGAGCGAACAGACGAGGAGCUUACUCCUCUGACGUUAGCGGCGGACGGGUGAGUAACACGUGGAUAACCUACCUAUAAGACUGGGAUAACUUCGGGAAACCGGAGCUAAUACCGGAUAACAUGUUGAACCGCAUGGUUCAACAGUGAAAGACGGUCUUGCUGUCACUUAUAGAUGGAUCCGCGUCGCAUUAGCUAGUUGGUAAGGUAACGGCUUACCAAGGCAACGAUGCGUAGCCGACCUGAGAGGGUGAUCGGCCACACUGGAACUGAGACACGGUCCAGACUCCUACGGGAGGCAGCAGUAGGGAAUCUUCCGCAAUGGGCGAAAGCCUGACGGAGCAACGCCGCGUGAGUGAAGAAGGUCUUCGGAUCGUAAAACUCUGUUAUUAGGGAAGAACAAAUGUGUAAGUAACUAUGCACGUCUUGACGGUACCUAAUCAGAAAGCCACGGCUAACUACGUG